RNAcentral lists this ribosomal RNA (911 nucleotides) under Dothiora schizospora. Its description in RNAcentral is "LSU rRNA". It matches the Rfam family "Eukaryotic large subunit ribosomal RNA", at positions 38 to 965 of the family's 3401-position model. The record is from RNAcentral. Lineage: Eukaryota; Fungi; Ascomycota; Dothideomycetes; Dothideales; Dothioraceae.
GCAUAUCAAUAAGCGGAGGAAAAGAAACCAACAGGGAUUGCCCUAGUAACGGCGAGUGAAGCGGCAAUAGCUCAAAUUUGAAAGCUGGCCUUCUGGUCCGCAUUGUAAUUUGUAGAGGAUGCUUUUAGGCAGCCGCCGGUCUAAGUUCCUUGGAACAGGACGUCAUAGAGGGUGAGAAUCCCGUAUGUGACCGGCUCUGGCACCUUAUGUAAAGCUCCUUCGACGAGUCGAGUUGUUUGGGAAUGCAGUUCUAAAUGGGAGGUAAAUUUCUUCUAAAGCUAAAUACCGGCGAGAGACCGAUAGCGCACAAGUAGAGUGAUCGAAAGAUGAAAAGCACUUUGGAAAGAGAGUUAAAAAGCACGUGAAAUUGUUGAAAGGGAAGCGCUUGCAAUCAGACUUGGACUUGGCUGUUCAACCGGUCUUCUGACCGGCCUAUUCAGUCUUGUCCAGGCCAGCAUCAGUUUCGGCGGCCGGAUAAAGGCCCUGGGAAUGUAGCUGUUCCUUCGGGGACAGUGUUAUAGCCCAGGGUGUAAUACGGCCAGCUGGGACUGAGGUCCGCGCUUCGGCUAGGAUGCUGGCGUAAUGGUUGUAAGCGGCCCGUCUUGAAACACGGACCAAGGAGUCUAACAUCUAUGCGAGUGUUAGGGUGUCAAACCCUUACGCGUAAUGAAAGUGAACGGAGGUGGGAACCCGCAAGGGUGCACCAUCGACCGAUCCUGAUGUCUUCGGAUGGAUUUGAGUAAGAGCAUAGCUGUUGGGACCCGAAAGAUGGUGAACUAUGCCUGAAUAGGGUGAAGCCAGAGGAAACUCUGGUGGAGGCUCGCAGCGGUUCUGACGUGCAAAUCGAUCGUCAAAUUUGGGUAUAGGGGCGAAAGACUAAUCGAACCAUCUAGUAGCUGGUUCCUGCCGAA